GGGGGUGUAGUUCAGUUGGCAGAACAUCUCUUGUACGUUCCUGGGUUCAAUCCUCAACAUCUCCA
This is a non-coding RNA of Podarcis lilfordi (Lilford's wall lizard), 65 nucleotides long. Lineage: Eukaryota; Metazoa; Chordata; Lepidosauria; Squamata; Lacertidae. The record is from the annotation of a GenBank genome assembly.